This 255-nucleotide ribosomal RNA is filed under the name uncultured bacterium. Its description in RNAcentral is "partial 16S ribosomal RNA". It matches the Rfam family "Bacterial small subunit ribosomal RNA", at positions 524 to 776 of the family's 1533-position model. The record is from RNAcentral.
UACGGGGGGAGCAAGCGUUGUUCGGAUUUACUGGGCGUAAAGGGCGCGUAGGCGGCCAGCACAAGUCAGUUGUGAAAUCUCCGAGCUUAACUCGGAAAGGUCAACUGAUACUGUGCGGCUAGAGUGCGGAAGGGGCAACUGGAAUUCUUGGUGUGAGCGGUGAAAUGCGUAGAUAUCAAGAGGAACACCAAUGGCGAAGGCAGCUCGCUGGGACGGUACUGACGCUGAGACGCGAAAGCGUGGGGAGCAAACAGG